AGCGAACGCUGGCGGCAGGCUUAACACAUGCAAGUCGAGCGGGCCCUUCGGGGUCAGCGGCAGACGGGUGAGUAACACGUGGGAACGUACCCUUUGGUUCGGAAUAACGCUGGGAAACUAGCGCUAAUACCGGAUACGCCCUUUUGGGGAAAGGCUUGCUGCCGAAGGAUCGGCCCGCGCCUGAUUAGCUAGUUGGUGGGGUAAUGGCCUACCAAGGCGACGAUCAGUAGCUGGUCUGAGAGGAUGAUCAGCCACACUGGGACUGAGACACGGCCCAGACUCCUACGGGAGGCAGCAGUGGGGAAUAUUGGACAAUGGGCGCAAGCCUGAGCCAGCCAUGCCGCGUGAGUGAUGAAGGCCUUAGGGUUGUAAAGCUCUUUUGUCCGGGACGAUAAUGACGGUACCGGAAGAAUAAGCCCCGGCUAACUUCGUG
Molecule: ribosomal RNA, 433 nt
Filed under: uncultured bacterium
Lineage: Bacteria
Description: partial 16S ribosomal RNA
Rfam family: Bacterial small subunit ribosomal RNA
Source: RNAcentral